AUUGAACGCUGGCGGGAUGCUUUACACAUGCAAGUCGAACGAGUGGCGGACGGGUGAGUAAUAUAUCGGAACGUGCCCCGUAGCGGGGGAUAACUACUCGAAACAGUGGCUAAUACCGCAUACUAUUGGAGCGGCCGAUCUGGGAUUAGCUAGUUGGUGGGGUAACGGCUCACCAAGGCAACGAUCCUUAGCUGGUAUGAGAGGACGACCAGCCACCCUGGGACUGAGACACGGCCCAGACUCCUACGUGAGGCAGCAGUGGGGAAUUUUGUACAAUGGGGGUAACCCUGAUCCAGCCAUCCCGCGUGUAUGAGAAGGCCUUCGGGUUGUAAAGUACUUUCAGUCGGGAGGCGUUACCCACAGAAUAAGCACCGGCUAACUACGUGCCAGCAGCCGCGGUAAUUC
Molecule: ribosomal RNA, 405 nt
Filed under: uncultured bacterium
Lineage: Bacteria
Description: partial 16S ribosomal RNA
Rfam family: Bacterial small subunit ribosomal RNA
Source: RNAcentral